AACCAGUAUUCAUCCUUGAAGAGAACACCUCUCCAACGUGCCAGACGCCAUCGAAUGUGAACAUUUGCCCACUCAAGUCUGUUACGGCGAUGAUCUGGAGUC
Long non-coding RNA from Salarias fasciatus (jewelled blenny), 102 nucleotides. RefSeq lists it as uncharacterized. The transcript is spliced from 3 exons. Lineage: Eukaryota; Metazoa; Chordata; Actinopteri; Blenniiformes; Blenniidae. The record is from RefSeq and is a predicted model, not a curated record.